RNAcentral lists this non-coding RNA (100 nucleotides) under Bathycoccus prasinos. The record is from RNAcentral. Lineage: Eukaryota; Viridiplantae; Chlorophyta; Mamiellophyceae; Mamiellales; Bathycoccaceae.
UUCUUAGAUUUUUUUUUUUGUCCUCUUUCUUUUUCCUCGCGAGGCAACAAUUUUUAAGACAACAACGCGGCAUUUCUUGUGAGCUCUAUAGUAUUGAAAA